This 332-nucleotide ribosomal RNA is filed under the name uncultured bacterium. Its description in RNAcentral is "bacterial SSU rRNA". It matches the Rfam family "Bacterial small subunit ribosomal RNA", at positions 568 to 898 of the family's 1533-position model. The record is from RNAcentral.
CGUGUAGGCGGUCAGGUAAGUGGAAUGUGAAAUGCCCCGGCUCACCCGGGGACCUGCAUCCCAAACUGCCUGACUUGAGUAUGGGAGAGGAUGGAGGAAUUCCUGGUGUAGCGGUGAAAUGCGUAGAUAUCAGGAGGAACACCGGUGGCGAAGGCGUCCAUCUGGCCCAAUACUGACGCUGAGGCGCGAAAGCUAGGGGAGCGAACGGGAUUAGAUACCCCGGUAGUCCUAGCCGUAAACGGUGAUCACUAGGUGUUGGGGGCAUCGACCCCUCCAGUGCCGCAGCUAACGCAUUAAGUGAUCCGCCUGGGGAGUACGGCCGCAAGGUUGAA